UGAAUUCACUACUGUAAGUCGCUCUGGAUAAGAGCGUCUGCUAAAUGAUGUAAA
Salmo salar (Atlantic salmon) is the source of this 54-nucleotide non-coding RNA. Lineage: Eukaryota; Metazoa; Chordata; Actinopteri; Salmoniformes; Salmonidae. The record is from Rfam.